AUUGCUUUGCCACCGGGUAAAGCAAAUUAAGGUGCUCAGAUACAUUUCGGUAGGUCUUAGGAGAAAUGUGAUCUUGAGCACCUUUUUUAU
RNAcentral lists this non-coding RNA (90 nucleotides) under unclassified sequences. The record is from RNAcentral.